Molecule: long non-coding RNA, 4128 nt
Organism: Felis catus (domestic cat)
Lineage: Eukaryota; Metazoa; Chordata; Mammalia; Carnivora; Felidae
Exons: 2
Source: RefSeq, a predicted model, not a curated record
UCUGCCCCUCCCCUGCUCUCUCUCUCUCUGUCUCUCUCAAAAUAAAGAAAUAAGCAUUUUUUAAAACCAACUUCUUAUUCUCUUUCUGUUUCAUAGUCAUAGUAAAAUAGACAUUAUAGUAAUGCCCCUCCAAAUGGGACUCAAAAGCAGUUCCUAACUAUAAAACAAGUUUAUGGAAAAACAAAUUGUUUUGUUUUGUUUUGUUUCAGAUUUGCACAGUGAUGAUUAUUUUAGUGCUUCUUUUUUUUUUUGCAUUUUUAUUGUAAAGCACGUACAACAUUAAAUUUAGCAUUUUAAAGUGCAUAAUUCCGUGACAUUAAGUAUAUUCACAAUAUUGUGCAAUUGUCACCAUUCUCUAGUUCCAGAACUAGAACUUUUGCAUCACCCCAGAUGGAAACCCUAUGCCCAUUAAGAAGUCACACCAGUUCUCCCCUCUCCCAGCCUCUGGCAAUAACUGAAUUGCGUCCUGUCACUAUGGGUUUGCCAUUUCCGGAUAUUUCAUGUAAAUAAAGUAUAAUCUGUGGCCUUUUGUGUCUAGCUUCUUUAAGUCUGCAUGUUUUCAAGCAUGUUUUGUUAAAGUUGUAGCAUGCAUCAGCACUUUUGAUGCAUUCAUUCGGCAUGCAUGCAUUUCUUUACGCGACUGUUUAAUAUCCCGCUAUAUGAAUAUACCACAUUUUGUUUAUCCGUUCAUCAGUUGAUGGAUAUUUGGGUUGUUUCCUUCUUUUAGCAAUUGUGAAUAGUGCUGCUGUGAACAUUUGUGUACUACAGGUUUUUGAACUUGAACAUUUGAAUACAAAUGUUCCUUUUUUUCUUUCUUUUUUUUUUUUUUUUUGGAAGUAUUAAUUAUUUUCUCCAAACACUGGCUUGUUUAUUUGUUUCUUGCUGUGGGCAGGGAUGGGUGUGCCACUCUUUUUCUGAUGCCCUAAGCAAAGCUCAGCCUAUCCACUGGCUGUUCCCUGUUCUUGUGCCUCUUGAUAAUCUGUUUCCCUGUCUCCCAUCCUCUCUCUUCCCUGCACGAAUUUGCAUUUGUAUCUGGGUGAUACCCCACUCAAACAAUUUGGCAUUCCUAUUGGCAAGUGGAUUCCCUCCCUCUUAUAGAGGCGAUUUUUGUUUAAAUAAGUACAAUGAAUAUGUCUAAUUCAGAAAGGCCUUCAGCCUCAGUUCUCAGCUUCCCCUAACAAGGCCCCUUUCCAACUCAAUUCCAGGAAAGCAGGCUCCAAGAACUCAAGCCAGGAGAGGCCCUUUCCUCAGGCCUCAGCUCAUAAAGCCAAGGUGUGUCUGGGCCCCUCGACUCUGUCAGACUUGGAACUUGAGCCUUCACUUGCUGGCUGCUGUCAGAGUUCAGUUCUCCCUGCCAAGGCCUCGGAAAGCUGGGGGCUGCAGAGAAGAGCCAGGCAUCGGAUUACUGCCUACAGAAAUGCGGGGGCUGCCCCAUGUGACCCUCCCCAUGUACAGUGUCAGUGUGAGCAACCACAGGCAUCAUCAGUGUUUGGGAUCUCAUCACAAAAAGCAGUGUGAUUAUCUUGCCACCUCUCAGAGAUACAGAUGCCACUGUCCCUUUCCCCUCUGCCUCCCCACUUUUUCCCUGGGGUUUCCUCUCUCCCCUCUUCCACAUUCCCCUGCUUUCCCAGGUCUGUUUUUCUGCCGACUUCCCCCAAAGGCUCUCUAGUUCUCUCCUGCCCCUUUGAUUUCCUCCCCUCCUUUCAUCCUCCAAACUUUUUCUAUCCACUCCCUGUCUCUUUGCCUUUCUCGGUGUGUCUUUCGGAUCUGUUUCCUUUGACACUGGUCCCAGGCCCACUGCCAAGUUUCAGACCCAUUAGUGAGGUGCCUUGCUGACUGAAACGCAAAUCAAGACUGAUCCGGGUACAAUUAGCAGCUGCUCACACCUCAUCUGGAAAGCAUUAGCCAGCACUGAGGGUGGAAGGAGGGAACUAUUGAUGCCAAACAGAAUAGAUCUCCUAUUUGGGAGCAGGAAAGCAUCCUGACCCAGUAGAAGUAUAACUGGAAAUAAGCUACAGAGAGACAAAGAGGCCCUCAUGAGAAACAAAGAUGAGUGGCUUGUUAACUGACCUUGGGGAUCCUUCAGCAUCUAUGCAAGAGAUACAGACUGCUCCACCUCGACUCAGUGCAGGGUCAUGGAAGUUUGGGACGACAGGAGAACAGGAAACCACUGCUAGGCAGGUAGCAGUCGCCUAUGCAAGUGGCAAAGGCAGAGGGAGGCCCAUGUUCCCCAGGCCACGUGGCCUACCUCCUCAUUAUCCUCCCUUCUCUGAAGCCUUGGAGCUCAGCCUAAAAGAAGCAGAGCCCUGCCUGGAGAAUAAGUCUCCCAGGAAUGAUACUCAGUAUCUGAGUUAACCCCUCAGCAGAUAUCACGGAAGGGCCUGCCAUCUGUCAGGCGUGGCAUAGCCAUCUCAGAGCCACAAUCGUGGCUAAGAUGCAAUCCCCCCACUCAGAGUGCACAGUCUAGCAAAGGCGAGCUGCCAGCUUCUUCCUGCCUGCCCAAAAUUCAAGUGAGUGUGAAUGGAAACAGCAGGUCAGAGGGAGAGAUGAGCAAGAGAUGGAAUUGACAGCACUAUAGCCUGAACAGAUGUAAGGGGCAAAGGAAAAGGCCGCGUUAAGGACAUCACUAGAGUUUCAGGUCUCAGUCUCUCAGAGGGUAGUGGUGAUUCUAGCAAAAACGGAGACUGUAGAGGGGAAAAGCAGUUGAGAGUGAAGAGACCAGGGUCAGUUUGAAACCUACUGGCUAAGUCUAGUGAGACAUCUCUCUAAAAUGACACUAGGGAGGCCUUUCUUUCUUCAUUUUGGAAGAAAAAAAAUGGCUGCCUAGAAGGUUCAUACACCAGCACCAAAAAGGAGAGGAGAUGAACAUGAAAGCCCUUGUCGAAGGGACUCCAUUCUUGACUGUUCUGCCACCUAAAGACCAGUAGAAACAGUUGGUUCUCUUGGCCUGGGCAUGCCUAGAUCAGAAUUAACACACCAGUCUGUCUCAGGAUGAAAGUGUUCUAAGUGUUCUCAGGAUGAAAGAAGAGUAAUCUCACACCCCAUUAAAUGGAUCAGAUGUGUGUGCUUUCAGUGGGUAGUGGUGAAUCUACAUGUGGAAAAUUAUAUUCAGAAAUGCCUAACUCCAGCACUUAAAUUCCAUGGCACACAUGGAAGGAAUUGAGGAGAUAGCCAAAUUCACAAAUAUUCCACCCACACUGUGCAAUAUGGCGUCCUGAUGCAUUUUGGAAACUGAAUUGCAACAUGACAUGGUGGGAAAACCUCUUCACAGUUAAAUAUGGAUGCCCUGAACAAGGACUACAUUCUUUACAAGAUUUUUACAUCACUAAGGACUUGACCGAUUCCAUCAUUUUCUGAAGAGUAAUCAUGGACUAUCACCUCUGGCUAUCUAGAAUGCUUUGGCAAAUUCAUCGUUUUGAAGAGCUUAAUGUUCCAGAGAGCAAAGUGCCAAAACUUUAAGUGCCGAAACUUUAUUUCAGUGAUCUUGAGUGAAAUCUUUCCCUUUUCUUCUUCCAUGGGAACUUAAUUUCACUUAAAGAAGGCCAUUCACAAACUAGGCUAUAAUAAGAGAUGUGCUAGACUACACAUUUCUUGAGAAGUGCAUGCAAAAACUGGUGACAUCCAAAGGUCUGUAGUCUAUUUAAUGAUAUUGUUACUGAUGUUAAUUUCCUCACUUUGAUAAUGGGUUCUACUUAUGUGAGAUGAUACUGUUGGGGAAGCUUGGAGAAGGAUACCUGGGAACUAUUUUGGCAGCUUUUUGUGAGUCUAAAAUCAUUCAAAAUAAGUUUUGGGUUUUUUUUUUAAGUACCCUGUGAUGAGGGAGUCUGUUUCAGUUAUCAAGUGGAUGGAUAGAAGAAGGAAAAAAGGAAGGCAGAAGGGAAAGAAGAAGGAAGGAAAGAAAGACAGAGGGAUUCAGGACCUUUAGAGACAGCUGUAUGGGAGAGAGUGGGGAGUAUCAGAAAUGUGGAAGCUUUAAAGGCAGGCAGGCUCUGAGGUCAUACCUCCUUCCUAACUUUGUGACAGAUUUCUUAAACUGGGAACCUCCAUGUUUACCUUUGUAAUAUUAGGGAUAAAAAUACAUGCUGCAGAAGAUUGCUGUGAAGAUUAAAUUAAAAAGUAUUUCCAAUA